GCGGGCGAGGUUGCUUCGGUAACUGAGCUAGCGGCGGACGGGUGAGUAAUGCUUAGGAAUCUGCCUAUUAGUGGGGGACAACAUUCCGAAAGGAAUGCUAAUACCGCAUACGCCCUACGGGGGAAAGCAGGGGAUCUUCGGACCUUGCGCUAAUAGAUGAGCCUAAGUCAGAUUAGCUAGUUGGUGGGGUAAAGGCCUACCAAGGCGACGAUCUGUAGCGGGUCUGAGAGGAUGAUCCGCCACACUGGGACUGAGACACGGCCCAGACUCCUACGGGAGGCAGCAGUGGGGAAUAUUGGACAAUGGGGGGAACCCUGAUCCAGCCAUGCCGCGUGUGUGAAGAAGGCCUUUUGGUUGUAAAGCACUUUAAGCGAGGAGGAGGCUACCGAGAUUAAUACUCUUGGAUAGUGGACGUUACUCGCAGGAUAAGCACCGGCUAACUCUGUGCCAG
This 451-nucleotide ribosomal RNA is filed under the name bacterium enrichment culture clone Gp241_tx8.fa. Its description in RNAcentral is "bacterial SSU rRNA". It matches the Rfam family "Bacterial small subunit ribosomal RNA", at positions 66 to 511 of the family's 1533-position model. The record is from RNAcentral.